UCAAUCUGACUAGCCUGGGAUGUCACUCCCCCAAGUUAUGGCCAAGUGGCUUAGGGCAGCGUAAGUGUCUCCCCAAAGAAGUACAGUCCCUUUCCAUAACACUGAAAAGGAAGCCAAAUGUUGAGUCUGCACCAGCAUAUUCCUACAACUUCUCAGAGUCCUGAGAAUAAUGACUGAAGAGAUAAACCUAAACCAUACAGGAAACAAUG
RNAcentral lists this small nucleolar RNA (209 nucleotides) under Castor canadensis (American beaver). Its description in RNAcentral is "Small nucleolar RNA SNORA73 family (ENSCCNG00000015368.1)". It matches the Rfam family "Small nucleolar RNA SNORA73 family". From Rfam's summary of the family: U17 (SNORA73A and SNORA73B) also known as E1 belongs to the H/ACA class of small nucleolar RNAs (snoRNAs). Vertebrate U17 is intron-encoded and ranges in length from 200-230 nucleotides, longer than most snoRNAs. It is one of the most abundant snoRNAs in human cells and is essential for the cleavage of pre-rRNA within the 5' external transcribed spacer (ETS). The record is from Rfam by way of RNAcentral. Lineage: Eukaryota; Metazoa; Chordata; Mammalia; Rodentia; Castoridae.